Molecule: ribosomal RNA, 466 nt
Filed under: uncultured bacterium
Lineage: Bacteria
Description: partial 16S ribosomal RNA
Rfam family: Bacterial small subunit ribosomal RNA
Source: RNAcentral
ACGAACGCUGGCGGCGUGCUUCACACAUGCAAGUCGAACGGAAAGGCCCUGCUUUUGUGGGGUGCUCGAGUGGCGAACGGGUGAGUAACACGUGAGUAACCUGCCCUUGACUUUGGGAUAACUUCAGGAAACUGGGGCUAAUACCGGAUAGGAGCUCCUGCUGCAUGGUGGGGGUUGGAAAGUUUCGGCGGUUGGGGAUGGACUCGCGGCUUAUCAGCUUGUUGGUGGGGUAGUGGCUUACCAAGGCUUUGACGGGUAGCCGGCCUGAGAGGGUGACCGGCCACAUUGGGACUGAGAUACAGCCCAGACUCCUACGGGAGGCAGCAGGGGGGAAUAUUGCACAAUGGGCGGAAGCCUGAUGCAGCAACGCCGCGUGCGGGAUGACGGCCUUCGGGUUGUAAACCGCUUUCGCCUGUGACGAAGCGUGAGUGACGGUAAUGGGUAAAGAAGCACCGGCUAACUACGU